UGGGGAAUAUUGCACAAUGGGCGCAAGACUGAUGCAGCCAUGCCGCGUGUAUGAAGAAGGCCUUCGGGUUGUAAAGUACUUUCAGUCGGGAGGAAGGUGGUAAGGUUAAUAACCUUAUCAAUUGACGUUACCGACAGAAGAAGCACCGGCUAACUCCGUGCCAGCGGCCGCGGUAAUACGGAGGGUGCAAGCGUUAAUCGGAAUUACUGGGCGUAAAGCGCACGCAGGCGGUUUGUUAAGUCAGAUGUGAAAUCCUCGGGCUCAACCUGGGAACUGCAUCUGAUACUGGCAAGCUUGAGUCUCGUAGAGGGGGGUAGAAUUCCAGGUGUAGCGGUGAAAUGCGUAGAGAUCUGGAGGAAUACCGGUGGCGAAGGCGGCCCCCUGGACGAAGACUGACGCUCAGGUGCGAAAGCGUGGGGAGCAAACAGG
Molecule: ribosomal RNA, 429 nt
Filed under: Chloroflexota bacterium
Lineage: Bacteria; Bacillati; Chloroflexota
Description: Chloroflexi bacterium partial 16S ribosomal RNA
Rfam family: Bacterial small subunit ribosomal RNA
Source: RNAcentral